RNAcentral lists this ribosomal RNA (393 nucleotides) under uncultured bacterium. RNAcentral's name for it is "partial 16S ribosomal RNA". It matches the Rfam family "Bacterial small subunit ribosomal RNA", at positions 523 to 918 of the family's 1533-position model. The record is from RNAcentral.
AUACGGAGGAUGCGAGCGUUAUCCGGAUUUAUUGGGCUUAAAGGGCGCGUAGGUGGGAUAUUAAGUCAGCUGUGAAAGUUUGGGGCUCAACCUUAGAAUUGCAGUUGAUACUGGUUUCCUUGAGUACGGUACAGGUGGGCGGAAUUCGUGGUGUAGCGGUGAAAUGCUUAGAUAUCACGAAGAACUCCGAUCGCGAAGGCGGCUCGCCGGGCCGGAACUGACACUGAUGCUCGAAAGUGCGGGUAUCAAACAGGAUUAGAUACCCUGGUAGUCCGCACAGUAAACGAUGAAUACUCGCUGUUUGCGAUACACUGUAAGCGGUCAAGCGAAAGCGUUAAGUAUUCCACCUGGGGAGUACGCCGGCAACGGUGAAACUCAAAGGAAUUGACGGGG